AUUGUUUACAUAUUCAUGCGAGAAUAAGUUGCUCACUUGACGGUCUCUAACUACCGUUUCGCUGACUUUGUCAAAACAAUAACAACUUGUUUGCCAUUAAUUUUGAACUAUAAUCUAAACCAAUAAAAAUAAGUCAGUGGAACUUUAAUUUUCCGUAUUUUCUCUUGAUUUUUACAUGGUUUAAAUUAACCUCAGCUUUAAUAACAAUGAAUACAGUAGGGCACAGUCGACAGUGACAAUUUUCGGAUAAACUUCCUGGUUUUUGUCAAAGGGGCAGAACCUACUACCUGGUAGUUUCAAUGAUGAACUAUCAUGAUAUAGGGCUAAAAGAUGGAUGUGCCAAAUCCACCUCAUGAAAAACAGAUUGGGCAAAAGUGGAGUGCGAACACUAAAUGAUGUGCUGCUAAAUAGCAGAUCUUUACAAGUGAAUUAGGCAAAUCCUGAUGCAACCUGAGCUUACCAAGUUUACUGACAGUUUGGACUCUGUGUGGAUGAUAAUAUGGACAAUAUAUUGUGUUCAUGUUGUGUUGUGAUUGACAUUUUUUAACAGAUAAGAUUUUUUAAUCCAGACUUAACAGGUGAUUUUUCUUCAAAGAAUAAAUACAAUACUUUUUAUUGAUGUGCAUGAAUUUGAGUACAAAAUAUCAACAAUGUGUAUCUUGUGUUGUUUUUCCAAUCAGUCUGUCAUCCAUAGGUAAUAUAUUAAGUAUGAGAAGGGAAUAUUUUAUUUUUACAUUUUUUUUGUUUCUGCACACCAUGUCAGAUACAUGAAAAUAUA
This is a long non-coding RNA of Dreissena polymorpha, 778 nucleotides long. RefSeq lists it as uncharacterized. NCBI's taxonomy places the organism in Eukaryota, Metazoa, Mollusca, Bivalvia, Myida, Dreissenidae. The record is from RefSeq and is a predicted model, not a curated record. The transcript is spliced from 3 exons.